UCGAGCGAGAAGACGUAGCAAUACGUUUGUAAAGCUGGCGAACGGGUGAGGAAUACAUGGGUAACCUACCCUAGAGUGGGGAAUAACUAGCCGAAAGGUUAGCUAAUACCGCGUACGCUUCUUGGACUUCGGUUCAGGGAGGAAAGCGCUACCGAGGGUAGCGCGCUCUUGGAUGGGCUCAUGUCCUAUCAGCUUGUUGGUGAGGUAACGGCUCACCAAGGCUUCGACGGGUAGCUGGUCUGAGAGGACGAUCAGCCGCACUGGCACUGCGACACGGGCCAGACUCCUACGGGAGGCAGCAGUAAGGAAUAUUGCGCAAUGGGCGAAAGCCUGACGCAGCGACGCCGCGUGGGGGAUGAAGGUCUUCGGAUUGUAAACCCCUUUCGGGAGGGAAGAUGGAAUGGGGUAACCCAUUCGGACGGUACCUCCAGAAGCAGCCACGGCUAACUUCGUGCCAGCAGCCGCGGUAAUACGAAGGUGGCAAGCGUUAUUCGGAUUUACUGGGCGUACAGGGAGCGUAGGCGGUUCGGUAAGCCCUUUGUGAAAUCUCCAGGCUUAACCUGGAACAGUCGGAGGGGACUGCC
RNAcentral lists this ribosomal RNA (584 nucleotides) under uncultured Nitrospira sp. Its description in RNAcentral is "bacterial SSU rRNA". It matches the Rfam family "Bacterial small subunit ribosomal RNA", at positions 62 to 637 of the family's 1533-position model. Lineage: Bacteria; Pseudomonadati; Nitrospirota; Nitrospiria; Nitrospirales; Nitrospiraceae. The record is from RNAcentral.